CCCUUAGAUGUCCUGGGCUGCACGCGCGCUACACUGAUGUGUCCAGUAAGCACCUAACCUCUUCCGAAAGGAACGGGUAACCUUUGCAAAGCACAUCGUGAUGGGGAUAGAUUAUUGCAAUUAUUAGUCUUGAACGAGGAAUUCCUAGUAAGCACAAGUCAUCAGCUUGUGUUGAUUACGUCCCUGCCCUUUGUACACACCGCCCGUCGCUACUACCGAUUGAAUGGCUUAGUGAGCCUUUGGGAUUGGCAGCUUGUACCGGCAACGGUAGCAGGCCGCUGAAAACUUAGGCAAACUUGGUCAUUUAGAGGAAGUAAAAGUCGUAACA
This 328-nucleotide ribosomal RNA is filed under the name uncultured eukaryote. RNAcentral describes it as "partial 18S ribosomal RNA". It matches the Rfam family "Eukaryotic small subunit ribosomal RNA", at positions 1470 to 1796 of the family's 1831-position model. The record is from RNAcentral.